Molecule: long non-coding RNA, 1060 nt
Organism: Suricata suricatta (meerkat)
Lineage: Eukaryota; Metazoa; Chordata; Mammalia; Carnivora; Herpestidae
Exons: 5
Source: RefSeq, a predicted model, not a curated record
UUUGGUCAGUUGCUUUCCCAUUCUGGUCACCUCAUUUUGGAACAGGGCAACUGUUAAAUCCCUCUUACCAUGCAUCUCUUGGCUAUAGUGAACUCUUACCCAGAAACAGUUAACUAAGAAAUCUCAGCAGGCAGAAGCUGACCAAGUCUUUCAUUUGUAUCUGGGUGCUGCUAGUCCAAGGUCGUGGCCUCGCUAAGAUUGACCAGGAGGUGGGAGCUCUAUGGAACUGUCUUCUGGAGAGGGAAGGAAGUGCAUAUGCAGUCCACAUCCACAGAAGUUAUAGCUCCACUGUCUUCAAAGACCGAGUAUGGAUUAGUCUAGAGCCUUGCCUGCAAGAAUCACCUUUUUCCCUUCAUCCUUCCAAAACUCACGUUUCAAGCAGUGAGUCGCAAGGAGAAUCCUUGCUGGCAAUGAUUAUGCUCCCUGCCCACUCCAUGGGGGAAGCCUGGCCGACAUUUCAAGGACAUUUCAAGGGAAGAGAAGAUUCCUGAUUUUCAGGAGAGUUUGCAGUUUGUUUUUCUAGAAGGCAAACAUCCAUUCUCCUUCUAGAACCAGAGAAAAACCACAGGAAAAUGGUAAGGACACUAAGAGGAGGAGGAGAAUGCGACUUAUCCAAGACCCAUCACUGGUAUGCGACAAGAACUGGAUUUGGAUCCAGAGCUGUGGUUCUUUUCUCUGCACCAUAAUGCCCCACAUUGGUUUGCCAGAGAGAGCCUGUCAGAGGGUUCAAAGGCAACAACUGUGGAGGAGGAAGAGGCUGGGAGAGGGAGCCAGAGUUUGGAGUGUUAAAAGGGCAAAGGAGAGGAGAAAUCUAGGGAGACCUAAAGAGCAGCACUGGUUCAUUUCUGCCAUCAUCCCUGCCUCUUCACUGGAUCAGUCCACUUAAAGGUCAUGCAUCUGAAUCCCUAAGUCUAUCUUAGUCCUUGCGCUUCUCAGCACCUCUUCAGCUAACCUACUGGCCACCUUUUGGAAACUCUCCUCUCCAGUACCACACUCCUGGUUCUUGCAGACAGCUCCUUCUCUGGCUUUUUGCCCUCCUCCCGCCCUAAAUAAAAGUAGA